GACUUAGAAAAAUACCACACAUUUCACUCAUCUUUCUCUCAUCUUGCCGUGAACCAAUCCCCUUCAUUCCAUUCUUCACAAAAUUUCCAUUUCUUCACCAAAUCAUCUCAUUCCAAGCUAGAGAAAUCCAUAGAACUUGCAAGAAGAAUCUCACUUAGGUAACUUGAUCUCUCUCCUUCUCAAUAGCUGUCCAAACUCUUAGAGUUUGAUGAUUUUGGUUGGUUUUUGUUCAUGAGAAAUUUUAGAACUUGUUGGAAAAUUAAUUGUGAUCCAUAGGUUUUGCUCUUGAGUGUUUAACUAGGAUUGUUUAAGCUUAGCUUGUGUUGAUUUCCAUAGUGAUUAAAGUUUUCACAAAAUUUUUGGUUAGGUUUUGAAAAAAGUGAUUUGAAAUGAUCAUAACUUUGAAAAAUUGUUUUGUGCUUUUCUUUUUGGUGUUGUUUAUGAGCUUAGUAGAGAAAUGGAUGUUAGAUUAUGGCUUUAAUUUUGUGAAACAAGAAAAAAUAAUUUUGAGUGUGUUCUUGAGGAUUUUAUGAACAUAUUUUUAGAAACUUUUGUUUUGAUGCUCAAAGUGGUUUGGUUGAUCAAUUCCAUGGCCAUGUGAACUAAUAGAUGCUAGCUAGGACUUUGCAUUGGAAAAAUUUUGAGUGUGGUCCUUAUUUUGAAAACUUUUGGUCAUGAGAAAUUUCGGAAAAAGUGGGGUAGAGGUUUCAAAGGUUGUUAGGGCUUUGAGGGAGGCACAAUGGUGGCCUAGGGCGAAUUACCAUGCAAAAAGUUUUGGGAAAAACAUGGUUUUAGUGUUGUAUGUGUGUUAAAGAACCUAAAAUUGAAUUUUCGAAAUUUGAGGCUUUGCCCGGAAAAUUUUUUGGGGCUUGGAUUAGUAACUCGAGGGUAUUAUGGGAUAUUACCAU
Molecule: long non-coding RNA, 908 nt
Filed under: Trifolium pratense (red clover)
Lineage: Eukaryota; Viridiplantae; Streptophyta; Magnoliopsida; Fabales; Fabaceae
Description: long non-coding RNA (TPRA_LNC005084)
Source: RNAcentral